RNAcentral lists this ribosomal RNA (230 nucleotides) under uncultured bacterium. RNAcentral's name for it is "partial 16S ribosomal RNA". It matches the Rfam family "Bacterial small subunit ribosomal RNA", at positions 109 to 339 of the family's 1533-position model. The record is from RNAcentral.
AGUAACGCGUAUGCAACCUACCUUUAACUGGGGAAUAGCCCAGGGAAACUUGGAUUAAUACCCCAUAGUUUUACACUUUCGCAUGUUAGUGUAAAUAAAGUUCCGGCGGUUAAAGAUGGGCAUGCGUGCCAUUAGAUAGUUGGUGAGGUAACGGCUCACCAAGUCAGCGAUGGCUACGGGGUCUUAAAGGAUGGUCCCGCACACUGGUACUGAGACACGGACCAGACUCC